AUUCUCUAUCUUCCUCAAAUGAGCUAUUGGUACAGGAUAGGCUUGCCUUGAGUUGGACAGCACCAAACAAGGCAGAGUAACCCAGUCACAUCCAUCCCUCGCUGCCGAAAACGUCCACUCUCCGGACAACCGGAACAUUAUCGCCCAAUUGAGAGAUCCUGCAAAAGCAAGGUCGCCAGUAUGGGAUUUCCUUAUUCGGCUGAGCGAUUAAAUCCUGUCUGUACGACUUACGAUAAAAUGAAUGACAAAAAUAAAUAAUAAAAACCACUAGGGAAGAUGGGCCGACGAGACUUGAUUCCUGACGAGCUACUAGUCGACGCUGCCGUGCUAUUUCGUGAUGGGAAUCCAAUGGUCAGUCCUUGAGAAGAUCUGUGAAAAGUGUCCUUGGAUGUGUGAGGGGGUGGUAGAAGUGACGGUAUCACACCCGCAUGCUACGUAGGAACCGGUUCGGUGACAAAAAGGUGUUUCAGCUGGGAAAGAAGGUUUACUAAACUGAACAUUAGAAUGCAAUAUGAGGAGAGCCAUCUUGAUACCUAUGGCCUUCCCCCUUUGCUAACUCGAUAGCUAAAAGGAAAGUACCUCAUUGCGGCACUGAGUUUUGGGGACCCGAGGAACGACAAGAACCCUGAAUCAACACAUCGACGGCCAUAUAUGCCUGGGGGGAAAAGUGCCAGGAAAGUUACUGCGAGAGGGUUUUGGAAUCAGCCUCUGUACCUAGGUGACCCUUGAGGAGGUUCUGUUAGAGGAAGCAUCCAUCUACAACAUCAAGGAGCUUCACCACCACGACGAGGAAAUCAGCAAAAUGUUUUGACUGAAUAUCCCUCAUCCUUUACGUGGCCUUCCUUCUGGCUCUGAGAGG
Molecule: small RNA, 859 nt
Filed under: Histoplasma ohiense
Lineage: Eukaryota; Fungi; Ascomycota; Eurotiomycetes; Onygenales; Ajellomycetaceae
Description: hypothetical lncRNA
Source: RNAcentral